Cavia porcellus (domestic guinea pig) is the source of this 107-nucleotide small nuclear RNA. The record is from Ensembl. Lineage: Eukaryota; Metazoa; Chordata; Mammalia; Rodentia; Caviidae.
GUGCUCACUUUGGCAGCACAUAUACUAAAAUUAGAAUGAUACAGAGAAUAUUAGCAUGGCUGCUGCGCAAGGAUGACAUGCAAAUUUGUGAGGCGUUCUAUAUUUUU